CCCUACGGGGGGCAGCAGUGGGGGAUAUUGCACAAUGGGGGGAACCCUGAUGCAGCGACGCCGCGUGGGUGAAGGAGCGUAUCGGCGCGUAAAGCCCUAUCGGCAGGGAAGAAGGAGGACGGUACCUGACUAAGAAGCCCCGGCUAACUACGUGCCAGCAGCCGCGGUAAUACGUAGGGGGCAAGCGUUAUCCGGAUUUACUGGGUGUAAAGGGGGCGCAGACGGCAGCGCAAGCCCGGAGUGAAAGCCCGGGGCCCAACCCCGGGACGGCUCUUGGAACUG
RNAcentral lists this ribosomal RNA (282 nucleotides) under uncultured bacterium. RNAcentral's name for it is "partial 16S ribosomal RNA". It matches the Rfam family "Bacterial small subunit ribosomal RNA", at positions 337 to 635 of the family's 1533-position model. The record is from RNAcentral.